UGGGGGAUAUUGCACAAUGGGCGAAAGCCUGAUGCAGCGACGCCGCGUGGGGGAUGAAGGCCUUCGGGUUGUAAACUUCUUUUGCUCUGAACAAGGCAUGCCUUUGGGGUGUGUUGAGUGUAGGGGUUGAUUAGCGCCGGCUAACUACGUGCCAGCAGCCGCGGUAAUACGUAGGGCGCGAGCGUUGUCCGGAAUUAUUGGGCGUAAAGGGCUUGUAGGUGGCUGGUUGCGUCUGUCGUGAAAGCUCAUGGCUUAACUGUGGGUUUGCGGUGGGUACGGGCUGGCUGGAGUGCAGUAGGGGAGGCUGGAAUUCCUGGUGUAGCGGUGGAAUGCGCAGAUAUCAGGAGGAAUACCGGUGGCGAAGGCGGGUCUCUGGGCUGUUACUGACGCUGAGGAGCGAAAGCGUGGGGAGCGAACAGG
This 420-nucleotide ribosomal RNA is filed under the name Fusobacteriota bacterium. RNAcentral describes it as "Fusobacteria bacterium partial 16S ribosomal RNA". It matches the Rfam family "Bacterial small subunit ribosomal RNA", at positions 355 to 776 of the family's 1533-position model. The record is from RNAcentral. Lineage: Bacteria; Fusobacteriati; Fusobacteriota.